RNAcentral lists this ribosomal RNA (468 nucleotides) under uncultured bacterium. Its description in RNAcentral is "partial 16S ribosomal RNA". It matches the Rfam family "Bacterial small subunit ribosomal RNA", at positions 28 to 507 of the family's 1533-position model. The record is from RNAcentral.
GACGAACGCUGGCGGCGUGCUUAACACAUGCAAGUCGAACGGAAAGGCUCUGCUUUUGUGGGGUGCUCGAGUGGCGAACGGGUGAGUAACACGUGAGUAACCUGCCCUUGACUUUGGGAUAACUUCUGGUAACUGGGGCUAAUACCGGAUAGGAGCUCCUGCUGCAUGGUGGGGGUUGGAAAGUUUCGGCGGUUGGGGAUGGACUCGCGGCUUAUCAGCUUGUUGGUGGGGUAGUGGCUUACCAAGGCUUUGACGGGUAGCCGGCCUGAGAGGGUGACCGGCCACAUUGGGACUGGGAUACGGCCCAGACUCCUACGGGAGGCAGCAGUAGGGAAGAGUGCACAAUGGGCGGAAGCCUGAUGCAGCAACGCCGCGUGCGGGAGGACGGCCUUCGGGUUGUAAACCGCUUGCGCCUGUGACGAAGCGUGAGUGACGGUAAUGGGUAAAGAAGCACCGGCUAACUACGGU